RNAcentral lists this ribosomal RNA (388 nucleotides) under uncultured bacterium. RNAcentral's name for it is "bacterial SSU rRNA". It matches the Rfam family "Bacterial small subunit ribosomal RNA", at positions 29 to 408 of the family's 1533-position model. The record is from RNAcentral.
AAUGAACGCUGGCGGCGCGCCUAAUACAUGCAAGUCGAGCGAGAAGACGUAGCAAUACGUUUGUAAAGCGGCGAACGGGUGAGGAAUACAUGGGUAACCUACCCUCGAGUGGGGAAUAACUAGCCGAAAGGUUGGCUAAUACCGCGUACGCUCCUUGGACCUCGGUUCAGGGAGGAAAGCGAUACCGUGGGUAUCGCGCUCUUGGUUGGGCUCAUGUCCUAUCAGCUUGUUGGUGAGGAACGGCUCACCAAGGCUUCGACGGGUAGCUGGUCUGAGAGGACGAUCAGCCACACUGGCACUGCGACACGGGCCAGACUCCUACGGGAGGCAGCAGUAAGGAAUAUUGCGCAAUGGGCGAAAGCCUGACGCAGCGACGCCGCGUGGGGGA